Girardinichthys multiradiatus is the source of this 904-nucleotide long non-coding RNA. RefSeq lists it as uncharacterized. The transcript has 3 exons. Lineage: Eukaryota; Metazoa; Chordata; Actinopteri; Cyprinodontiformes; Goodeidae. The record is from RefSeq and is a predicted model, not a curated record.
AGAAAACUGAAUAAUUUCUUUCAUGAUGCUUCCUAACGACAUUGGUCGUGUUGUUAUUGCAGUCCCAUCACAACGGUUUGUGUGAAGUUUAUCUGUCUGUGCACGAGUAUGGCGACGCCCUUCCUGUUCCCUGAGCGAUUGUGGAGCCCUUUUACAUUAUAAGUAACUUUUUCAAGUGGAUCACCCAUUAUCUGAGUGGGGUAUAAGGAGUAUGGCUACAUAAUAAACAAAACCAACCAAAGAGGGAAGAAACAGAACCAAGAGAUUGCGCAAAACGACACUGAAGACAGAAAGAAAACAAGCUUGCAAACAUGGUCUGCGCAGGAUCCCCGUGGAACAGUGGGAUUAGAAUGCAAAUAACACAGAACAGGUAAGUACUACGUUUAAGUACUCAGGACAUGGUCCCUGGACGCUAAGCUAAGCAGCUAACGUGCACAACCGAGGUGGAGUAUGAAUGUGCAAUAAGUGCGCUAAGAUAUGUAUAUAAAAUAAAAACAGUUAUAAGAAGAAAGAUAACAAGAAAACUUCAAAAUAUACUACUCAGGCUCCUGCAAUCCUUAAGCCUUUCGGUUUCACGGAACAAACCUGCUGCUCAGUAUGAGGAUUUGUUGCAAAAGUUCCAUUUUAAUGCACUCAGCUGUUCCCUUAAAUAGGAAAUCUACAAGCUUGCUUAAUAAACUGAGCUUGACUACAGUGUUUAAUGUUACCGUUUAUUUUGUUCCCUCCCGUUGUGUCAGUUUCCAGGUGAUUGAGAUGAACAGCGGUGCAUGGAUCCAUGCAUUUUGCGGAUUUCAGCAUGUUUCAGCACAAAAUCCACACCCAGCUGUUCUGUUCUGACCACUGUUAAUGGGUCAGAACUUGAACUUGUUUGUGAUGUACAUAAUGACACCAGUAAUGCAGACCC